Molecule: ribosomal RNA, 139 nt
Filed under: uncultured eukaryote
Lineage: Eukaryota
Description: partial 18S ribosomal RNA
Rfam family: Eukaryotic small subunit ribosomal RNA
Source: RNAcentral
UGGUGGAGUGAUUUGUCUGGUUAAUUCCGUUAACGAACGAGACCUCGACCUACUAACUAGUUUACUAAACUCUUGGGUUUACGUAAGCUUCUUAGAGGGACUAUCGGUGCGUAGCCGAUGGAAGCUCGAGGCAAUAACA